This 441-nucleotide ribosomal RNA is filed under the name uncultured bacterium. Its description in RNAcentral is "partial 16S ribosomal RNA". It matches the Rfam family "Bacterial small subunit ribosomal RNA", at positions 338 to 795 of the family's 1533-position model. The record is from RNAcentral.
CCUACGGGUGGCUGCAGUGGGGGAUAUUGCACAAUGGGGGGAACCCUGAUGCAGCGACGCCGCGUGGGUGAAGGAGUGCUUCGGCAUGUAAAGCCCUAUCGGCAGGGAAGAAGCAAGACGGUACCUGACUAAGAAGACCCGGCUAACUACGUGCCAGCAGCCGCGGUAAGACGUAGGGGGCGAGCGUUAUCCGGAUUCACUGGGUGGAAAGGGAGAGUAGAAGGCCAGGCAAGCCAGGGGUGAAAGCCCGGGGCCCACCCCCGGGACGGCCCUUGGAACUGUGCGGCUAGAGUGCGGGAGGGGCAGGCGGAAUUCCUGGUGUAGCGGUGAAAUGCGUAGAUAUCAGGAGGAACACCGGCGGCGAAGGCGGCCUGCUGGACCGCGACUGACGUUGAGGCUCGAAAGCGUGGGGAGCGAACAGGAUUAGAUACCCCGGUAGUC